GUCAGUUGACAAAGCGAAUGGCCUCAACCAUUUGAGGACAUGGUCCCGCUGUGCACAACGCUCCUGUUGAACCAGCCAAGAGCACCUUGAGAAUUGGAAGUCGAAAGGGAAUACAACCUACAUCUCCGACCUCUUGAACAGCACAUUUAUUCACCAGUCCCAUAAGAUCAGGGCUCUGAGUGAGCCCGGAAGCCCAAGGAAUAAAGAUGAAGACAAAUGCACCAUAAAGGGAAAGAAAAGAAAUACUAAAACUAGGUGGGCCCAACAGCCUUUAAGGCUCUGAUUUCCUUGUCUACAGGAAGCAGCGGCUUCCCAUCUCCCACAGAAGAAAGCUCUACAUGACUAACCCCCUGCUUCUGAUCUCCUUCUCUGUUACCACAUCCCCGGUGUAUUCAUACUGCCUCCCUGUGUCUCAAAGCUUCCCAGGGUGAUGCAACCAAGUCCAUUGCUCAGAGUUUUCUGUGGAGGCAACAGCUGUGUAGUGUGGCCAGAUCUACACUGCAGAGGAAAAUGCCACUUUCCAAUUUCACUGGGUCUGUGGACAGCCAUGGGACCUGCCAGUGUUCUGUUUCCCUGCCGGAUACCGCCUUUCCCGCUGACAGAGUGGAGCGCUUAGAGUACACAGCUCACAUCCUUUCUCAGAAAUUCGAGAGAGAGUUUUCUAAG
RNAcentral lists this long non-coding RNA (666 nucleotides) under Mus musculus (house mouse). RNAcentral describes it as "predicted gene 6999". Lineage: Eukaryota; Metazoa; Chordata; Mammalia; Rodentia; Muridae. The record is from RNAcentral.